CGCGUAGGCGGCGCGGUAAGUCUCCUGUGAAACCUCUGGGCUUAACUUAGAGCCUGCAGGGGAAACUGCCGUGCUAGAGUGUGGGAGAGGCGAGUGGAAUUCCCGGUGUAGCGGUGAAACGCGUAGAUAUCGGGAGGAACACCAGUGGCGAAGGCGGCUCGCUGGGCCACAACUGACGCUGAGGCGCGAAAGCUAGGGGAGCAAACAGGAUUAGAUACCCUGGUAGUCCUAGCCUUAAACGAUGAAUGCUUGGUGUGAUCGGUAUCCAAUCCGAUUGUGCCGUAGUUAACGCGAUAAGCAUUCCGCCUGGGGAGUACGGUCGCAAGGCUGAA
RNAcentral lists this ribosomal RNA (332 nucleotides) under uncultured bacterium. RNAcentral's name for it is "bacterial SSU rRNA". It matches the Rfam family "Bacterial small subunit ribosomal RNA", at positions 568 to 898 of the family's 1533-position model. The record is from RNAcentral.